Molecule: long non-coding RNA, 1712 nt
Filed under: Daucus carota (carrot)
Lineage: Eukaryota; Viridiplantae; Streptophyta; Magnoliopsida; Apiales; Apiaceae
Description: long non-coding RNA (DCAR_LNC001703)
Source: RNAcentral
AGAUUUGCAAAUCAGUUUGUUGCAUCCUUUAUUACGGCAAGAAAUUCCACUGCCACACAUGGGCACCUUUCUCCACCAGCUCGAAGAUGGAGAGCUCGGUUGCAUCUCACCUGAAGAUGCAUUUGAAGGGUUUAUUCAGAGAGUUGCAAUGUCUUGUAAACUACAUCCAAGUAAAAACAAUGGUAUGUAUUCGUCAAACCCGAUUGUUAUGGCCAUUUACGGUAGACGCAGAUAUUUGGCCUAUGCUAGAUUAACAGACAAAGUGUGGACUGAAGUUCUCUUCCCCAUUAUGGCCCCCUUUAUAGAGGAUAUCGCUUACUAUAAAGGAAAAUUUUAUGCCCUCAAUGGCAGGGGAGAUCUAUUUGUGUGUGAUAUAGCCAAGGGAACAAAAAUUUAUUCCUGGCCAACUGACCUUGAUAUUGUCAUGCAUUAUAACAAUUCAAGAACCUACUUGGUUGAAUCAGAAUUUGGUUUCUGGUUAGUUGUGCGCAAAUUCAAAGAAAAAUAUUUUAAAGCACCUCAUGGGGCAAGAGCAAAAUACCGUACAUGUAACUUCACAUUAUGGAAGAUGGAACUGAAAUAUUCUGAUCAUCACUCUGAAUUACCUUCAUGUACCUGCAUUGCAGAGAAUAACUUGGGCGACCAGGCAUUAUUCAUCGGCAGAGCUACAUGUCUAUUGCUUCCAUCUUCAGAAUACAUAAGGCCUAACUGCAUCUACUUCACAGAUGACAACCUGGAUCAGUCUUAUCACGUAGGAGGGGGACAUGAUAUGGGAAUUUUCAACAUGGAAACUAACACCAUAGAACCUUUUUAUCAAGGAAAAUCUAUACAUCCCAUCUCCCCCCCACUCUGGUAUAUUUGAAUUUGUAUAAAUUUUCUGGGAGCCAACCAUCAUCAUCUCCUUUACUAUUUUCUUGACUAUAUACAUAUAUGUUCCUUCAUUAUAUAUUUUUCAAUGUCUAUCUGAUUUAUCGUGAAUCUUGUUUUCUGCGAUUUCUCUGCUAUAUUCUGUUUGUACAUUUAUAAACUCAAUUAGAUUUUUAAGACAAACACUAAAUCACAAUCCCUAACUAAAGUACUUAUCUAGGUUCAUUACUUGUAUGUUCUCUGACGGGCAUAGCUUACUUCUCAUUGAGUAAAUCCAUGCUUAGAAAAAUUACGUGCAAGACUUUCUCUUGUUCUCCUCUUAGAUACACAUAGACAACACAAAAAGUUUCUUACCCGCAGGAAUUCCCAUCUGAGUGAAGUGGCUUAAGGAUGACUCCAUGGAUCCUGAUCUAGGUUCACUGAGCAACCUAAUAAUACUAAUAAUGAACCUAGAUUAGGAUCCAACAAGUCGUCAUUAAGCGACUGCACUCAGCAUUCCCACAUAUACAGUGAUACUUAAUUAAUGAUAGCGUACGUAUUGAACUCUGAUGUUCCUCUCUGUUACCUUGGAAGCAUCAUCGGUGUCCAAAUUCCCAGUUCUCAUAUAUGUUAUAUGUUAUGAAAUAUUACAUAUUAUUAGACUUACCAUUAAAUGCAGCUCAUAAAAUUAAAAUGCUUAUAUUAUUGUAAUUUUUUUAAAAUACUUUAAAUUUCAUAACUUGGCGUAUUCUUUAAUAUAUAAGAAAAAGUUCUAAUUUAAAUAUACUAUCAAUGGCUUAGGACAUAAGAUCUUAUGAUACCUCCAUCCAAAGAAACCCCAUGCCCCAUGGUGUAUGCAAGACUUU